This 420-nucleotide ribosomal RNA is filed under the name Fusobacteriota bacterium. RNAcentral describes it as "Fusobacteria bacterium partial 16S ribosomal RNA". It matches the Rfam family "Bacterial small subunit ribosomal RNA", at positions 355 to 776 of the family's 1533-position model. The record is from RNAcentral. Lineage: Bacteria; Fusobacteriati; Fusobacteriota.
UGGGGGAUAUUGCACAAUGGGCGAAAGCCUGAUGCAGCGACGCCGCGUGGGGGAUGAAGGCCUUCGGGUUGUAAACUUCUUUUGCUCUGAACAAGGCAUGCCUUUGGGGUGUGUUGAGUGUAGGGGUUGAUUAGCGCCGGCUAACUACGUGCCAGCAGCCGCGGUAACACGUAGGGCGCGAGCGUUGUCCGGAAUUAUUGGGCGUAAAGGGCUUGUAGGUGGCUGGUUGCGUCUGUCGUGAAAGCUCAUGGCUUAACUGUGGGUUUGCGGUGGGUACGGGCUGGCUUGAGUGCAGUAGGGGAGGCUGGAAUUCCUGGUGUAGCGGUGGAAUGCGCAGAUAUCAGGAGGAAUACCGGUGGCGAAGGCGGGUCUCUGGGCUGUUACUGACGCUGAGGAGCGAAAGCGUGGGGAGCGAACAGG